GUGGUAAUGCCGGAUGCUCCAGUUGAUCGCAUGGUCUUCUGGGAAAGCUUUCGCGGUAUGGGAUGGGGUCGCGUCCUAUCAGCUUGACGGCGGGGUAACGGCCCACCGUGGCUUCGACGGGUAGCCGGCCUGAGAGGGCGACCGGCCACAUUGGGACUGAGAUACGGCCCAGACUCCUACGGGAGGCAGCAGUGGGGAAUAUUGCACAAUGGGCGCAAGCCUGAUGCAGCGACGCCGCGUGAGGGAUGGAGGCCUUCGGGUUGUAAACCUCUUUUAUCGGGGAGCAAGCGAGAGUGAGUUUACCCGUUGAAUAAGCACCGGCUAACUACGUGCCAGCAGCCGCGGUAAUACGUAGGGUGCAAGCGUUAUCCGGAAUUAUUGGGCGUAAAGGGCUCGUAGGCGGUUCGUCGCGUCCGGUGUGAAAGUCCAUCGCUUAACGGUGGAUCCGCGCCGGGUACGGGCGGGCUUGAGUGCGGUAGGGGAGACUGGAAUUCCCGGUGUAACGGUGGAAUGUGUAGAUAUCGGAAAGAACACCA
RNAcentral lists this ribosomal RNA (536 nucleotides) under Bifidobacterium longum subsp. infantis. RNAcentral's name for it is "bacterial SSU rRNA". It matches the Rfam family "Bacterial small subunit ribosomal RNA", at positions 160 to 711 of the family's 1533-position model. The record is from RNAcentral. Lineage: Bacteria; Bacillati; Actinomycetota; Actinomycetes; Bifidobacteriales; Bifidobacteriaceae. RNAcentral also lists the same sequence under 2 other names.